GUAGGUGGCAAGCGUUGUCCGGAAUUAUUGGGCGUAAAGCGCGCGCAGGCGGUUCUUUAAGUCUGAUGUGAAAGCCCACGGCUCAACCGUGGAGGGUCAUUGGAAACUGGAGAACUUGAGUACAGAAGAGGAAAGCGGAAUUCCACGUGUAGCGGUGAAAUGCGUAGGGAUGUGGAGGAACACCAGUGGCGAAGGCGGCUUUCUGGUCUGUAACUGACGCUGAGGCGCGAAAGCGUGGGGAGCAAACAGGGAUUAGAUACCCUGGUAGUCCACGCCGUAAACGAUGAGUGCUAAGUGUUAGGGGGGUUUCCGCCCCCUUAGUGCUGCAGCUAACGCAUUAAGCACUCCGCCUGGGGAUACGGCCGCAAGGCUG
Molecule: ribosomal RNA, 373 nt
Filed under: uncultured organism
Description: partial 16S ribosomal RNA
Rfam family: Bacterial small subunit ribosomal RNA
Source: RNAcentral